Long non-coding RNA from Magnolia sinica, 1198 nucleotides. RefSeq lists it as uncharacterized. The record is from RefSeq and is a predicted model, not a curated record. Lineage: Eukaryota; Viridiplantae; Streptophyta; Magnoliopsida; Magnoliales; Magnoliaceae. The transcript is spliced from 2 exons.
UUAAAAUUGUCGUUGCUUGUUGUGUGCUACAUAAUUUCAUACGGAGAGAAGAUAGAUCAGACCAAGACUUGCGUGACAUAGGUGUACCAGUGGGUGACGUUGAGGAUAAUCCUACCCCAAAUGAGGUAUCAACAAUUGAUGAAAGGCAAUGGCUAGUCCAAGUCACUCAACGAGCAAAGGAUGACUGGAUCAGAACUCGUGACAGGAACGCAGAGCGCAUGUGGGCAGACGCCCAAAACAAUAGUAGGAUUCGAUAAUCCUACUUAGUUUUUGUGAUAAUAAUGACAUACUACAUGACUAAAGUAAUGGAUGUAAUGAGUUUUUUAUAUAAGUUCGAAGUACUAGUUUUUUGCACUUUGUACACCCAAGCUAAUAAAUUUUUCUACAUACAUCAACAACUGUUUAUUUAUGUAGAUAUUCAUAUUGGAAAAUCUUAUAGUUGACACAUACUGUAUUCUGCAUGAUUCUCUUUGUGUAAUUGCCUUCCCAUCUAUACAUAGGUGAUAUGUCAGCCAAUUUGGGAGGUUCUACUCCAACUCCGACGCAAUCGCCGCUCCGUAGCCCGGUUCUACCAACACAUUGCUCACCACGUGAGAAGUCCAUAAAAUCUCUAGCAAAGCCUUCCUCCGGUACUGCCAAGAUCAAAUGGACUGAAACUAUGGAUCAAGUUUUGUUUAACACCUUGAUUGAGCAAAUUGUGCUAGGUAGAAAGGCAGAUAAUGGCUUCAAACGAGAAGUAUAUCAAGCAGCCGCCGACGAGGUUCAUAAACGUACACAGAUUCUUGUCACCUAGCAAAAUGUUCAAAAUAUAUUGAAGUAUCACAAGAGGGAGUACGGUGAUAAAAAGGACAUACUGGCUGUGAGCGGUUUCGGUUGGGACAGUGAGUGCAUGGUGGUGACAGCCCCAGACGAUGUUUGGGAUGAGUAUUUAAAGUCUCAUCCGCGAGCUGAGAGGUUGCAUCGCAAGUGAAUUAAACGGAUGGAUGAUUUAUCGGUGAUUGUCGGGUCUAACCAGGCUAUGGGCAGAUAUGCGCAAGGAAGUAGGAACAUUGUGGCAUCCUUGUCUCGUGUUUAUAGAGACCUGAAUGAUUCGUGGAGAGAGCUAGACAAUGAUACAGAUGUUAUCAUGGACCUAUCUGAGGAAAACCUCUAUGAAUCACCUAGCAUAUAUGGCCAAUCAACGGACAGUCAAACAAGG